UGCGCCUUGCCAGCCCGCUCAGAAACUCAAAGGAAUUUGACGGGUCCCCGCACAAGCAGCGGAGCGUGUGGUUUAAUUCGUUGCUACACGAAGAACCUUACCUGGGUUUGACAUAGCAGUGGUAGGGAAGAGAAAUCGGACCGACCCUUCGGGGAGCUGUUACAGGUGUUGCAUGGCUGUCGUCAGCUCGUGUCGUGAGAUGUUCGGUUAAGUCCGCUAACGAGCGCAACCCGCGUUGUGUGUUAUAUGUGUCACACAAUACCGCCGGUAUUAAGCCGGAGGAAGGUGCGGAUGACGUCAAGUCAGCAUGACCUUUAUAUCCAGGGCUACACGCACGCUACAAUGGACAGUACAACAGGUUGCCAAGCCGCGAGGCGGAGCCAAUCCUCUAAAGCUGUCCUCAGUUCAGAUUGCAGGCUGCAACUCGCCUGCAUGAAGUUGGAGUUGCUAGUAACCGCAGGUCAGCUAUACUGCGGUGAAUACGUUCCCGGGUCUU
Molecule: ribosomal RNA, 496 nt
Filed under: uncultured Anaerolineaceae bacterium
Lineage: Bacteria; Bacillati; Chloroflexota; Anaerolineae; Anaerolineales; Anaerolineaceae
Description: bacterial SSU rRNA
Rfam family: Bacterial small subunit ribosomal RNA
Source: RNAcentral